This 159-nucleotide small nuclear RNA is filed under the name Sorex araneus (European shrew). Its description in RNAcentral is "U4 spliceosomal RNA (ENSSARG00000019345.1)". The stretch from base 1 to 74 matches the Rfam family "U4 spliceosomal RNA". The record is from RNAcentral. Lineage: Eukaryota; Metazoa; Chordata; Mammalia; Eulipotyphla; Soricidae.
AGCUUUGUUCAGUGGCAGUAUCAUAGCCAAUGAAGUUUAUCCAAGGCACGAUUAUUAUUAAUUGAAAACUUACAGGCCAGAAGGACUAGUCAAUGGUUGGUCAAUGGUGUGGGAGAUAGAGGGUCCAUUAUGACAAUACUAGUUGGAAAGGAUCAUUCC